RNAcentral lists this ribosomal RNA (451 nucleotides) under uncultured bacterium. Its description in RNAcentral is "partial 16S ribosomal RNA". It matches the Rfam family "Bacterial small subunit ribosomal RNA", at positions 354 to 796 of the family's 1533-position model. The record is from RNAcentral.
GUGGGGAAUAUUGGACAAUGGGGGGAACCCUGAUCCAGCCAUGCCGCGUGUGUGAAGAAGGCCUUUUGGUUGUAAAGCACUUUAAGCGAGGAGGAGGCUACCGAGAUUAAUACUCUUGGAUAGUGGACGUUACUCGCAGAAUAAGCACCGGCUAACUCUGUGCCAGCAGCCGCGGUAAUACAGAGGGUGCAAGCGUUAAUCGGAUUUACUGGGCGUAAAGCGCGCGUAGGUAGCCAAUUAAGUCAAAUGUGAAAUCCCCGAGCUUAACUUGGGAAUUGGAUUCGAUACUGGUUGGCUAGAGUAUGGGAGAGGAUGGUAGAAUUCCAGGUGUAGCGGUGAAAUGCGUAGAGAUCUGGAGGAAUACCGAUGGCGAAGGCAGCCAUCUGGCCUAAUACUGACACUGAGGUGCGAAAGCAUGGGGAGCAAACAGGAUUAGAUACCCUAGUAGUCC